UACGAGGGGUGCAAGCGUUAUUCGGAAUGACUGGGCGUAAAGGGUGCGUAGACGGUAUAUUAAGUCUGUCGUUAAAUUCUUCAGCCUAACUGAAGACCUGCGAUGGAAACUGAUAUUCUGGAGGAUGAAAGAGAGAAGUGGAAUUCUCGGAGUAGCGGUAAAAUGCGUAGAUCUCGAGAGGAACACCAAUGGCGAAAGCAGCUUCUUGGUUCAUUCCUGACGUUGAGGCACGAAAGCGUGGGGAGCAAACAGG
This 253-nucleotide ribosomal RNA is filed under the name uncultured bacterium. RNAcentral describes it as "partial 16S ribosomal RNA". It matches the Rfam family "Bacterial small subunit ribosomal RNA", at positions 524 to 776 of the family's 1533-position model. The record is from RNAcentral.